This 92-nucleotide transfer RNA is filed under the name Caulerpa cupressoides. Its description in RNAcentral is "tRNA-Ser". It matches the Rfam family "tRNA". From Rfam's summary of the family: Transfer RNA (tRNA) molecules are approximately 80 nucleotides in length. Their secondary structure includes four short double-helical elements and three loops (D, anti-codon, and T loops). Further hydrogen bonds mediate the characteristic L-shaped molecular structure. tRNAs have two regions of fundamental functional importance: the anti-codon, which is responsible for specific mRNA codon recognition, and the 3' end, to which the tRNAs corresponding amino acid is attached (by aminoacyl-tRNA synthetases). tRNAs cope with the degeneracy of the genetic code in two manners: having more than one tRNA (with a specific anti-codon) for a particular amino acid; and 'wobble' base-pairing, i.e. permitting non-standard base-pairing at the 3rd anti-codon position. The record is from RNAcentral. RNAcentral also lists the same sequence under 1 other name. Lineage: Eukaryota; Viridiplantae; Chlorophyta; Ulvophyceae; Bryopsidales; Caulerpaceae.
UGGGGGAAUGGCUGAGUGGUCGAAAGCGACGGAUUGCUAAUCCGUUGUAUGAUUUUUUUUCAUACCAAGGGUUCGAAUCCCUUUUUCUCCGA